Molecule: ribosomal RNA, 403 nt
Filed under: uncultured bacterium
Lineage: Bacteria
Description: bacterial SSU rRNA
Rfam family: Bacterial small subunit ribosomal RNA
Source: RNAcentral
UAGGGAAUAUUGCAAAAUGGGCGAAAGCCCGAUGCAGCAACGCCGCGUGGGCGAUGAAGGCCUUCGGGUCGUAAAGCCCUUUUUGAGGGGAUGAGGAAGGACAGUACCCUCAGAAUAAGCCUUGGCUAACUACGUGCCAGCAGCCGCGGUAAAACGUAGGAGGCGAGCGUUAUCCGGAUUUACUGGGCGUAAAGCGCGUGCAGGCGGAUUGGAGAGUUGGAUGUGAAAGCUCCCGGCUUAACUGGGAGAGGUCGUUCAAUACUUCCAGUCUUGAGUGCAGUAGAGGGAAGUGGAAUUCCGGGUGUAGUGGUGAAAUGCGUAGAUAUCCGGAGGAACACCAGUGGCGAAAGCGGCUUCCUGGACUGUAACUGACGCUCAGACGCGAAAGCUAGGGUAGCAAACG